AAGUUUGGCUGCGAAAUGUUGUAAAGCGCGGAAAAUAUAGCCCUACGAAAUUUGCAAAUUUUGUAUUAAUUUGUAUUACGCACGGGAAAAUGCACCACUUUCGGCCCAAAUGUGGUGCAUUUUCUCGCGCGUAAUACAAAUUAAUACAAAAUUUGCAAAUUUCGUAGGGCUAUAUUUUCCGCGCUUUACAAUAUUUCUCGGCCAAACUU
This is a non-coding RNA of Paramuricea clavata, 209 nucleotides long. Lineage: Eukaryota; Metazoa; Cnidaria; Anthozoa; Malacalcyonacea; Plexauridae. The record is from the annotation of a GenBank genome assembly.